This 23-nucleotide non-coding RNA is filed under the name Rattus norvegicus (Norway rat). The record is from RNAcentral. Lineage: Eukaryota; Metazoa; Chordata; Mammalia; Rodentia; Muridae.
UACUAUUGAUAAGUGAGGUGUAC